Molecule: ribosomal RNA, 402 nt
Filed under: bacterium
Lineage: Bacteria
Description: partial 16S ribosomal RNA
Rfam family: Bacterial small subunit ribosomal RNA
Source: RNAcentral
UGGGGAAUUUUGCACAAUGGGGGAAACCCUGAUGCAGCGACGCCGCGUGAUUUAGAAGGCCUUCGGGUUGUAAAAAUCUUUCCUAUGGGAAGAAAAUGACAGUACCAUAGGAAUAAGGACCGGCUAAUUACGUGCCAGCAGCCGCGGUAAUACGUAAGGUCCGAGCGUUGUCCGGAAUCAUUGGGCGUAAAGGGUACGUAGGCGGGUAAGCAAGUUAGAAGUGAAAUCCUAUAGCUCAACUCUAGUAAGCUUUUAAAACUGCUCAUCUUGAGGUAUGUAAGGGAAAGUGGAAUUCCUAGUGUAGCGGUGAAAUGCGCAGAUAUUAGGAGGAAUACCUGUGGCGAAGGCGACUUUCUGGCCAUAACCUGACGCUGAGGUACGAAAGCGUGGGUAGCAAACAGG